CAAGUCGCACGAGAAAGGGGAGCAAUCCCUGAGUAAAGUGGCGCACGGGUGAGUAACACGUGACUAACCUACCUCCGAGUGGGGAAUAACUGAGAGAAAUCUUAGCUAAUACCGCAUAACACUUACGAGUCAAAGCAGCAAUGCGCUUGGAGAGGGGGUCGCGGCAGAUUAGUUAGUUGGCGGGGUAAUGGCCCACCAAGACGAUGAUCUGUAUCCGGCCUGAGAGGGCGCACGGACACACUGGAACUGAAACACGGUCCAGACUCCUACGGGAGGCAGCAGUGGGGAAUUUUGCGCAAUGGGGGAAACCCUGACGCAGCAACGCCGCGUGGAGGAUGAAAUAUCUUGGUAUGUAAACUCCUUUCGAUGGGGAAGAUUACGACGGUACCCAUAGAAGAAGCCCCGGCUAACUUCGUGCCAGCAGCCGCGGUAAUACGAGGGGGGCAAGCGUUGUUCGGAUUUAUUGGGCGUAAAGGGUGCGUAGGCGGUUUGGCAAGUCUGAUGUGAAAUCUAUGGGCUCAACCCAUAGUCUGCAUCANAAACUGCCGGGCUUGAGUAUGGGAGAGGUGAGUGGAAUUUCCGGUGUAGCGGUGAAAUGCGUAGAUAUCGGAAGGAACACCUGUGGCGAAAGCGGCUCACUGGACCAUAACUGACGCUGAUGCACGAAAGCUAGGGGAGCAAACAGGAUUAGAUACCCUGGUAGUCCUAGCCCUAAACGAUGAUUGCUUGGUGUGGCAGGUACCCAAUCCUGCCGUGCCGAAGCUAACGCGAUAAGCAAUCCGCCUGGGGAGUACGGUCGC
Molecule: ribosomal RNA, 800 nt
Filed under: uncultured Pseudomonadota bacterium
Lineage: Bacteria; Pseudomonadati; Pseudomonadota
Description: bacterial SSU rRNA
Rfam family: Bacterial small subunit ribosomal RNA
Source: RNAcentral